GCUUGUCUCAAAGAUUAAGCCAUGCAUGUCUAAGUAUAAACGAUUUUAUACGUGAAACUGCGAAUGGCUCAUUAUAUCAGUUAUAGUUUAUUUGAUGGUCCUUACUACUUGGAUAACCGUAGUAAUUCUAGAGCUAAUACAUGCACAAAGGCCCGACUCACGAAGGGCUGUAUUUAUUAGAUGGAAACCAAUGCGGGGCAACCCGGUAUAUGGUGAUUCAUAAUAACUUUCGGAUCGAUUUAUCGAUGCAUCAUUCAAGUUUCUGCCCUAUCAGCUUUGGAUGGUAGGGUAUUGGCCUACCAUGGCUUUAACGGGUAACGGAGAAUUAGGGUUCGAUUCCGGAGAGGGAGCCUGAGAAAUGGCUACCACAUCCAAGGAAGGCAGCAGG
RNAcentral lists this ribosomal RNA (388 nucleotides) under Ochromonas tuberculata. RNAcentral's name for it is "partial small subunit ribosomal RNA". It matches the Rfam family "Eukaryotic small subunit ribosomal RNA", at positions 30 to 432 of the family's 1831-position model. The record is from RNAcentral. Lineage: Eukaryota; Chrysophyceae; Chromulinales; Chromulinaceae.